This 253-nucleotide ribosomal RNA is filed under the name uncultured bacterium. Its description in RNAcentral is "partial 16S ribosomal RNA". It matches the Rfam family "Bacterial small subunit ribosomal RNA", at positions 524 to 776 of the family's 1533-position model. The record is from RNAcentral.
UACGGAGGGUGCAAACGUUGCUCGGAAUCAUUGGGCGUAAAGCGCACGUAGGCGGCCUGUUAAGUCGAACGUGAAAUCCCCGGGCUCAACCCGGGAACUGCGUCCGAUACUGGCAGGCUUGAAUCCGGGAGAGGGAUGUGGAAUUCCAGGUGUAGCGGUGAAAUGCGUAGAUAUCUGGAGGAACACCGGUGGCGAAGGCGACAUCCUGGACCGGUAUUGACGCUGAGGCGCGAAAGCCAGGGGAGCAAACGGG